CCUACGGGUGGCUGCAGUGAGGAAUAUUGGUCAAUGGGAGAGAUCCUGAACCAGCCAAGCCGCGUGAGGGAAGACGGCCCUAUGGGUUGUAAACCUCUUUUGUCGGAGAACAAAACCCGGGACGUGUCCCGGCCUGCGUGUAUCCGAAGAAAAAGCAUCGGCUAACUCCGUGCCAGCAGCCGCGGUAAUACGUAGGGUGCGAGCGUUAAUCGGAAUUACUGGGCGUAAGGGGUGCGAAGGCGGGUGAAUAAGACAGAUGUGAAAUCCCCGGGCUUAACUCGGGAAUGGCAUAUGUGACUGCUCGACUAGAGUGUGUCAGAGGGAGGUGGAAUUCCACGUGUAGCAGUGAAAUGCGUAGAUAUGUGGAAGAACAUCGAUGGCGAAGGCAGCCUCCUGGGACAUAACUGACGCUCAGGCACGAAAGCGUGGGGAGCAAACAGGAUUAGAUACCCUGGUAGUC
Molecule: ribosomal RNA, 460 nt
Filed under: uncultured bacterium
Lineage: Bacteria
Description: partial 16S ribosomal RNA
Rfam family: Bacterial small subunit ribosomal RNA
Source: RNAcentral